RNAcentral lists this ribosomal RNA (488 nucleotides) under uncultured bacterium. RNAcentral describes it as "SSU rRNA". It matches the Rfam family "Bacterial small subunit ribosomal RNA", at positions 26 to 523 of the family's 1533-position model. The record is from RNAcentral.
AGGACGAACGCUGGCGGCGUGCCUAACACAUGCAAGUCGAACGCGCUCCAUUCGGUAGCAAUACUGAUGAAGAGCGAGUGGCGAACGGGUGAGUAGCACGUGAGCAACCUGCCCCGAAGACCGGGACAACACCGGGAAACCGGUGCUAAUACCGGAUAUCCCUAUCGGACCGCAUGAUCUGAUAAGGAAAUGGAUUCCGCUUCGGGAGGGGCUCGCGGCCUAUCAGCUAGUUGGUGAGGUAACGGCCCACCAAGGCAUCGACGGGUAGCUGGUCUGAGAGGACGAUCAGCCACACUGGGACUGAGACACGGCCCAGACUCCUACGGGAGGCAGCAGUGGGGAAUCUUGCGCAAUGGGCGAAAGCCUGACGCAGCAACGCCGCGUGGAGGACGAAGGCUUUCUGAGUUGUAAACUCCUUUCAGCAGGGACGAUAGUGACGGUACCUGCAGAAGAAGCACCGGCCAACUACGCGCCAGCAGCCGCGGUAA